CAUGUCUAAGUAUAAGCAAUUAUACGGCGAAACUGCGAAUGGCUCAUUAUAUAAGUUAUCGUUUAUUUGAUAAUACUUUACUACUUGGAUAACCGUGGUAAUUCUAGAGCUAAUACAUGCUAAAAAUCCCGACUUCGGAAGGGUUGUAUUUAUUAGAUUAAAAACCAAUGCCCUCUGGGCUCUCUGGUGAAUCAUAAUAACUUGUCGAAUCGCAAGGCCUUGUGCCGGCGAUGGCUCAUUCAAAUUUCUUCCCUAUCAACUUUCGAUGUUUGGGUAUUGGCCAAACAUGGUGGCAACGGGUAACGGAGGGUUAGGGCUCGACCCCGGAGAAGGAGCCUGAGAAACGGCUACUACAUCCAAGGAAGGCAGCAGGCGCGCAAAUUACCCAAUCCCGACACGGGGAGGUAGUGACAAUAAAUACUGAUACAGGGCUCUUAUGGGUCUUGUAAUCGGAAUGAGUACAAUUUAAAUCCCUUAACGAGGAACAAUUGGAGGGCAAGUCUGGUGCCAGCAGCCGCGGUAAUUCCAGCUCCAAUAGCGUAUAUUAAAGUUGUUGUGGUUAAAAAGCUCGUAGUUGAACCUUGGGCCUGGCUGGCCGGUCCGCCUCACCGCGUGCACUGGUCCGGCCGGGCCUUUCCCUCUGUGGAACCUCAUGCCCUUCACUGGGUGUGACGGGGAAACAGGACUUUUACUUUGAAAAAAUUAGAGUGCUCCAGGCAGGCCUAUGCUCGAAUACAUUAGCAUGGAAUAAUAAAAUAGGACGUGUGGUUCUAUUUUGUUGGUUUCUAGGACCGCCGUAAUGAUUAAUAGGGACAGUCGGGGGCAUCAGUAUUCAAUUGUCAGAGGUGAAAUUCUUGGAUUUAUUGAAGACUAACUACUGCGAAAGCAUUUGCCAAGGAUGUUUUCAUUAAUCAGGAACGAAAGUUAGGGGAUCGAAGACGAUCAGAUACCGUCGUAGUCUUAACCAUAAACUAUGCCGACUAGGGAUCGGACGAUGUUAUAUUCUUGACGCGUUCGGCACCUUACGAGAAAUCAAAGUGCUUGGGCUCCAGGGGGAGUAUGGUCGCAAGGCUGAAACUUAAAGAAA
This 1087-nucleotide ribosomal RNA is filed under the name Hypocreales sp. FY-2022a. RNAcentral describes it as "SSU rRNA". It matches the Rfam family "Eukaryotic small subunit ribosomal RNA", at positions 54 to 1152 of the family's 1831-position model. Lineage: Eukaryota; Fungi; Ascomycota; Sordariomycetes; Hypocreales. RNAcentral also lists the same sequence under 2 other names. The record is from RNAcentral.